RNAcentral lists this long non-coding RNA (1233 nucleotides) under Homo sapiens (human). RNAcentral's name for it is "non-protein coding lnc-HPS4-4:1". Lineage: Eukaryota; Metazoa; Chordata; Mammalia; Primates; Hominidae. The record is from RNAcentral.
CAGACAUGUCACAUGAAUGCAGGUAGCUAGGUACCUGCGCGGGCUGUUGGUUUUGUAAACGCAGAGCAGAGCAGUCACGAUGUGUAGAAAUCAUGCACCUCAGUGAUUCUUUAACAAGAUAAUGAGUAAAAAGACUUCAGGUAUGUUUGAAAUGUCUGCCUUUUCCUGCAUUCUCAUCACUGACAAAUAUCUGUGUAGACAUUUUACUCAAAUGUAGACGUGCUCUUUGCACACUUGCUAGUACCUGCCUGGUGCAUUUCAACUGUGUUUUCUUCCAACAGUUGUACCUCUUAGAAGCUGCUGUUUUCCAUUUGGAUCUAAACACUGGACCUGCACCUGCGACCAGCUGUAUAUUCCAAACCACUCCUCGGCUUUAUAAAUCUGACACUGCUCAUAAUACAUUAUUCAGAAAAGGCAUCUCUAGUGUGGCUGGCCGGCUACGCUUUCACACAUCAGCUAACACAGGCUAUUUCUAGAAGCACUGAAAAAAACAAGUAGCAACAGAAGACAGACUUACAAGGGCACUAAGUCUCUGGUCACUCAAGGACCAAUCAAAGGAAUGCGCUGUUAGGCCAGAAAGGAGUCUCUGAAGCAAAUGAUUGGAAGGAAAAAAAAAAAAUCUAAGGAAAUACAAGCCGAAAAGUUUCCAUUUACAAUAACCAAGGGAAAGAGGGACCCGACAUGAUAUAAAAUCCCAAAUAAGAGCUUUCCGCUGAGGCAGGUUUCUGAGCAUGGAAACAACACCGGUAGGGACUGGACCGGACCACAGUCUGCCCAGGCCCCGCCUCGGCCCUUCUCGCCGACUCCAGCAUGGGAAAUACUCUCAUCGUCCCGGAGCAAAGAUGAAAUCAAGAGCCUGCCGUUCGGCCGCUGCGACGUUUGGAUGCCACAAAUCCACCAUGAAAACCACCCGUGGGCCAUCCUCUGCUGAACCUGGGGGGGAAGGAGGGGUGAGAGGACAGGUUCAAACCACCCUGGAGUCAGGACCCAGGAUCCAGGCAGGGCUGGACCCUACGUGCUCAGCUUCGGGGCAGGGACCCCAUCCUGUCCCUCGGCUCGGAUCGGACCACCUCCUCUCUCACUGAGAGCAUAAACCUGGCUUCAUGGGCUUCUGAGCAGGGUGGACAAAAGGAAAUGGGGAGAUGGAGGGAUCUUUAAGUGGGAAUUUUUACGGCAGUGAAACUAUUCUGUAUGAUACUGUCAUGGUAGGUCCGUGUCAUUAUCCAUUUGGCG